AGUGGCGAACGGGUGAGUAACAUAUCGGAACGUACCGGGCAGUGGGGGAUAACUAAUCGAAAGAUUGGCUAAUACCGCAUAUCUUCUGAGGAAGAAAGCAGGGGACCAUUUGGCCUUGCGCUGUUUGAGCGGCCGAUAUCUGAUUAGCUAGUUGGUGGGGUAAAGGCCUACCAAGGCGACGAUCAGUAGCGGGUCUGAGAGGAUGAUCCGCCACACUGGGACUGAGACACGGCCCAGACUCCUGCGGGAGGCAGCAGUGGGGAAUUUUGGACAAUGGGCGCAAGCCUGAUCCAGCCAUGCCGCGUGUCUGAAGAAGGCCUUCGGGUUGUAAAGGACUUUUGUCAGGGAAGAAAAGGGCGGGGUUAAUACCCCUGUCUGAUGACGGUACCUGAAGAAUAAGCACCGGCUAACUACGUGCCAGCAGCCGCGGUAAUACGUAGGGUGCGAGCGUUAAUCGGAAUUACUGGGCGUAAAGCGGGCGCAGACGGUUACUUAAGCAGGAUGUGAAAUCCCCGGGCUCAACCUGGGAACUGCGUUCUGAACUGGGUGACUAGAGUGUGUCAGAGGGAGGUAGAAUUCCACGUGUAGCGGUGAAAUGCGUAGAGAUGUGGAGGAAUACCGAUGGCGAAGGCAGCCUCCUGGGAUAACACUGA
This 653-nucleotide ribosomal RNA is filed under the name uncultured bacterium. RNAcentral's name for it is "bacterial SSU rRNA". It matches the Rfam family "Bacterial small subunit ribosomal RNA", at positions 94 to 743 of the family's 1533-position model. The record is from RNAcentral.